Molecule: ribosomal RNA, 406 nt
Filed under: uncultured bacterium
Lineage: Bacteria
Description: partial 16S ribosomal RNA
Rfam family: Bacterial small subunit ribosomal RNA
Source: RNAcentral
AUUGAACGCUGGCGGCAGGCUUAACACAUGCAAGUCGAGCGAGCGGCGGACGGGCGAGUAAGGUCUGGGCAACUGGCUGAUGGAGGGGGCUAACUACUGGAAACGGUAGCUAAUACUGCAUAACACCAGAUGUGCCGUGAUGGGAUUAGCUAGUAGGUGGGGUAAGGGCUCACCUAGGCGACGAUCCCUAGCUGGUCUGAGAGGCUGACCAGCCACACUGGGACUGAGACACGGUCCAGAGUCCUACGGGAGGCAGCAGUGGGGAAUAUUUCACAAUGGACGCAAGCCUGAUGCAGCCAUGCCGCGUGUGUGAAGAAGGCCUUCGGGUUGUAAAGCACUUUCAGCGAAGAGGCGUUACUCGCAGAGGAAGCACCGGCUAACUCCGUGCCAGCAGCCGCGGUAAUUC